UUCACAUUUUUGUGUUGAAAUAGAUUAGCCUAUCCCCUGUAUGUCACUGAUGCACUACUACAAAGAUGUGAGGACAAGAAAAUACACCUGCGAGUAGUCUUGGACAUUGCCUGUGUUGUUGCCUCACAUUUGCAGAAAUCAGGGGAGGGCAUAUCACACAACAUCUCCUUAGUCGUACCAGCAUUUCAUGUUUAUGGACACAAAUGGCCCUGCCAGAUCAAGUACAGUACCAGAUGGCUUGAUGGGUUUGGCCUCACAGACGGGGAAGGAAUGGAAAGGCUGUGGUCUUUCCUCCAAAGAUUUGCCAGAGUCACAAAGGAGAUGACUCCAUCUCAUCACUUUUGACCUACUGACUGAUGCCCUUUUUGCAUUAUGGACGGAGGAAAUCAACUGACCUAGAGGUGCAGCUCCUGCAAAGAGUAGACAAAGCAGAGAAAAUAUUGCUCAAGAAGAUAUCUCAUCUGUCAUCAGAGAGGCAUCAGUGUUGAUUUCUGAAGGAGACAUGGAGAAAUGGAAAAAAGCUAGCCCAACAAAAACCAAUAAACACUGUCUGUAGAUGGAAAAGGGACUACAUCAUCAGACUGAUUCAGUUCUACAAGUUCAAAUAUUAGAAUUGAGGACUCUGCUGAACAUUGAGAAAAACUACCGUAUUGGGAGAAGAUGGCAAGAGUCUGAUUCAAACUUCCAGUCUACCCUUAAAGAUGUGGACCAUGAGCUCAGAGUCCAACUGCAAGGCUAGAACUGAAUCAAGGGAGAGAGCAGUCGUCCUCCACCUGAGAAGAAUAUAUCCAGCUUUGCUUCAGAUGGGCAGGGCAUUGUCAUUAGACUCUCCAAGCAGGUAGCCAGCUCCAACAAUAGACUGAGACAGCAUUCAAUAGUCACCGCAGUUGAGCUUCUUACCUGCGACAAUUGAUUUUCAGGAAUCAUGUGAUCCCUCUUGGCAUGUCUACUUCUGCUUUGAUGACACUAUUGAAGAAGAUGAUGUUUCGAGGAGUCUAAAGGGAUUGAUGCCUUACAUAUGAAGACUCAUGCAAAAGCUGCUCUCAUUCAACGCUUCCAACAGCUGGAAAGAAAACUACAUCAAGCCAUUGUGAUGUUUCACCCACAUGUAUCAGACUUUGUUCCUGCAGACAACCCCCACUUGUGUCAGGCCCUCCCCAUGCCAAGCAUACAGACACUGGUAUACAAUGAUAAGAGUGAUAAUGAUGACAAUGUGGAUAACUAGCACUACAGAUUUUUUUUUACAUUUCUAGUCUGAUAUUGUAUUCUGUAAAAAGAAUGAUGUAAAAUGUAUAGUAUAUGUUGCAGCAUAUUAUAGAAACCUUUAUGGUGGUGUAAUAUAAUGUUCGCCUUACUUGUGCAAACAUGAUGUUUUACUAGAUCUGAUUUAUUAUUAAACGUAGGUACUGUUUUUAAGCACACAUAUUCACACUAGUCUGUGUGAGGACAAAAUUGUGUGUUUACCAUUGUGAUGUUACUUAUUUACUGUAAUGUACAAAUGUGGUCAAUGUG
Molecule: non-coding RNA, 1512 nt
Organism: Misgurnus anguillicaudatus (oriental weatherfish)
Lineage: Eukaryota; Metazoa; Chordata; Actinopteri; Cypriniformes; Cobitidae
Source: RefSeq, a predicted model, not a curated record